This 497-nucleotide ribosomal RNA is filed under the name uncultured bacterium. RNAcentral describes it as "partial 16S ribosomal RNA". It matches the Rfam family "Bacterial small subunit ribosomal RNA", at positions 28 to 507 of the family's 1533-position model. The record is from RNAcentral.
GAUGAACGCUGGCGGCGUGCCUAAUACAUGCAAGUCGAGCGAACAGACGAGGAGCUUGCUCCUCUGACGUUAGCGGCGGACGGGUGAGUAACACGUGGAUAACCUACCUAUAAGACUGGGAUAACUUCGGGAAACCGGAGCUAAUACCGGAUAAUAUAUUGAACCGCAUGGUUCAAUAGUGAAAGACGGUUUUGCUGUCACUUAUAGAUGGAUCCGCGCCGCAUUAGCUAGUUGGUAAGGUAACGGCUUACCAAGGCGACGAUGCGUAGCCGACCUGAGAGGGUGAUCGGCCACACUGGAACUGAGACACGGUCCAGACUCCUACGGGAGGCAGCAGUAGGGAAUCUUCCGCAAUGGGCGAAAGCUUGACGGAGCAACGCCGCGUGAGUGAUGAAGGUCUUCGGAUCGUAAAACUCUGUUAUUAGGAAAGAACAAAUGUGUAAGUAACUAUGCACGUCUUGACGGUACCUAAUCAGAAAGCCACGGCUAACUACGUG